GAGGGAAUCUUCCGCAAUGGGCGAAAGCCUGACGGAGCAACGCCGCGUGAGUGAUGAAGGUCUUCGGAUCGUAAAACUCUGUUAUUAGGGAAGAACAAAUGUGUAAGUAACUAUGCACGUCUUGACGGUACCUAAUCAGAAAGCCACGGCUAACUACGUGCCAGCAGCCGCGGUAAUACGUAGGUGGCAAGCGUUAUCCGGAAUUAUUGGGCGUAAAGCGCGCGUAGGCGGUUUUUUAAGUCUGAUGUGAAAGCCCACGGCUCAACCGUGGGAGGUCAUUUGAAACUUGAAAACUUGAGUGCAGAAGAGGAAAGUGGAAUUCCAUGUGUAGCGGUGAAAUGCGCAGAGAUAUGGAGGAACACCAGUGGCGAAGGCGACUUUCUGGUCUGUAACUGACGCUGAUGUGCGAAAGCGGGGGGAUCAAACAGG
Molecule: ribosomal RNA, 429 nt
Filed under: Actinomycetes bacterium
Lineage: Bacteria; Bacillati; Actinomycetota; Actinomycetes
Description: Actinobacteria bacterium partial 16S ribosomal RNA
Rfam family: Bacterial small subunit ribosomal RNA
Source: RNAcentral